Molecule: long non-coding RNA, 1330 nt
Filed under: Betta splendens (Siamese fighting fish)
Lineage: Eukaryota; Metazoa; Chordata; Actinopteri; Anabantiformes; Osphronemidae
Description: lncRNA (ENSBSLG00000008176.1)
Source: RNAcentral
GUUGUGGUUGUUAAUGAUUUGGUUGUGGUUGUUGGUGCCUCAGUUGGAGUUGUUGUUGGUGCCUCAGUUGGAGUUGUUGUUGGUGCCUCAGUUGUUGUGGUCGUUGCUUCUGUUGUAGUUGUUGCUUCAGUUGUGGUUGUCGUUGGUGCCUCAGUUGUUGUGGUUGUUGUUGUUGCUUCAGUUGUGGUUGUCGUUGGUGCCUCAGUUGUAAUUGUUACUUCAGUUGUUGUAAUUGUUGCUUCUGUUGUGGUUGUUGUUGGUGCCUCAGUUAUUGUGGUCAAUGUUUCUGUUGUGGUUGUUGGUGAUUCAGUUGUGGUCGUUGGAGAUUCUGUUGUGGUUGUUGGUGAUACUGUUGUAGUAGUAGUAGUUGGUAUUUCAGUUGUUGUCGAAGUUGUUGUUGAUUUAUUUGUGGCAGUUGGUGAUUCAGUUGUAGUGGUAGGUGGUAUUUCCAUUGUUGUUGUUGGAGGUUUUUCAGUUGUGGUUGUCGUUGGUACCUCAGUUGUAAUUGUUGCUUCAGUUGUUGUGGUUGUUGCUUCAGUUGUGGUUGUUGUUGGUGCUUCAGUUGUUGUAAUUGUUGCUUCAGUUGUGGUUGUUGUUGGUGCCUCAGUUGCUGUGGUUGUUGCUUCAGUUGUGGUUGUCGUUGUUGCUUCAGUUGUUGUGGUUGUUGCUUCAGUUGUGGUUGUCGUUGGUGCCUCAGUUGUAGUGGUUGUUGCUGCAGUUGUUGUGGUUGUUGCUUCAGUUGUGGUUGUUGUUGGUGCCUCAGUUAUUGUGGUCAAUGUUUCGGUUGUGGUUGUUGGUGAUUCAGUUGUGGUCGUUGGAGAUUCUGUUGUGGUUGUUGGUGAUACUGUUGUAAUAGUAGUUGGUAUUUCAGUUGUUGUCAAAGUUGUUGUUGAUUUAGUUGUGGCAGUUGGUGAUUCAGUUGUGGUUGUUGGUGAUUCAGUUGUAUUGGUGGGUGGUAUUUCCAUUGUUGUUGUUGGAGGUUUAUCAGUUGUGAUUGUUGGUAGUUCACUUGUCGUUGGUCGCGAUUCAGUUGUUGUGGUUGUUGGUGAUUCAGUUGUUGUGGUUGUUAUUGAUUCAGUUGUGGUUGUUAAUGAUUUGGUUGUGGUUGUUGGUGCCUCAGUUGGAGUUGUUGUUGGUGCCUCAGUUGUGGUUGUUGCUUCAGUUGUUGUGGUUGUUGCUUCAGUUGUAAUUGUUGCUUCAGUUGUGGUUGUUGUUGGUGCCUCAGUUGUUGUGGUUGUUGCUUCAGUUGUAGUGGUUUAAUAUUGACGGGAAAUUAUGGACCCAUUUUUUAUCAACGUAAAUAAAAAAGCUAGGGAGGACUGUAAAUACA